Long non-coding RNA from Cucumis melo (muskmelon), 946 nucleotides. RefSeq lists it as uncharacterized. The record is from RefSeq and is a predicted model, not a curated record. The transcript has 4 exons. NCBI's taxonomy places the organism in Eukaryota, Viridiplantae, Streptophyta, Magnoliopsida, Cucurbitales, Cucurbitaceae.
AUUGUUCAUGUUCAUGUUAAAUGUCAUUUGUUUAGGUUUGAUGAUAUAUGAUUAAAUUUGUUUAAAUUUUUGGAUCAAUGAAUGAUUUAAAAUGACAUGUUGUCCAUACGAAUUUUAUGUUUAAACCAAUACAAUAAUUUAAUAUAGUUUACAAUUUAAGUUAUUGUCCUAAAAAGAGUAUAAACAAGAUAAUUUAUCCACUCACAAGUUCACAAUACAACUUUGGGAAGCUAAAACCAUCAAAAUCUCGGCUUUUGUUACCGACGACUUUCAAGACAUCUAUUCUUGCUCGCUCUUGCAGUAUGAACACUUCUAAUUCCUAAACCAUACUUCAAACAAGUGACGUGGGUGUUGUUAAACAUCCCUGUUUUUCUCAAAGGAUUUGAAAUUAUUAUACCUUUUCUUGACCAUUAUUUCUUUGUCGUGUGGUACACUUUACGGUUGAAGGUUAACAAGAAUGCUGCUGAUGAACACAUUGCAGAUGAACUGUUUGAUAAAAUGACAAUGAGAAAGCUACUCCCAAAUGCAGUUCGAGAAAUCACAUCAGCAGUCAUAUUUUGUAGGUUGCUUUGGAUUUUGAAGACAUAAUCCCUAAACAGUAGAUAACAGAAGGAAGAUACUCAAAGUCCAUCAGCAAGCAACUUGGCAAGGGGAUUCAAACUAGCAGUUGGCUUUUGGUAAUCAUUGAUCAAUGAGAACACAGUUUUAAGUUGUUCAGGGUCCAUGAUGUGUACUCUUGGGAUGGGGCCAAUCCACAUGAAUGAAUUCUUCCCUGCAUAUAUUCCACAAAUAUUUAACAUUGUUUAUUUUUCAUAACAAAAUUGUAUGUAACUUAAAUCAACAAAAGGCAUAUUGAUGUUGAAUAAAGCACUGGACUUCACAGGGAAUACAACUAUGAGAAAAUGAACAACACUUUAAUGAAAUGUAAAAUAUUAGGUUUUUUUUU